CGAGACCUCAGGUCAGGCGGGGCUACCCGCUGAAUUUAAGCAUAUCAAAUAAGCGGAGGAAAAGAA
RNAcentral lists this ribosomal RNA (66 nucleotides) under Astragalus stocksii. RNAcentral describes it as "partial 26S ribosomal RNA". It matches the Rfam family "Eukaryotic large subunit ribosomal RNA", at positions 1 to 63 of the family's 3401-position model. Lineage: Eukaryota; Viridiplantae; Streptophyta; Magnoliopsida; Fabales; Fabaceae. The record is from RNAcentral.